RNAcentral lists this ribosomal RNA (158 nucleotides) under uncultured beta proteobacterium. RNAcentral's name for it is "partial 16S ribosomal RNA". It matches the Rfam family "Bacterial small subunit ribosomal RNA", at positions 335 to 485 of the family's 1533-position model. Lineage: Bacteria; Pseudomonadati; Pseudomonadota; Betaproteobacteria. The record is from RNAcentral.
ACUCCUACGGGAGGCAGCAGUGGGGAAUUUUGGACAAUGGGCGAAAGCCUGAUCCAGCCAUGCCGCGUGCAGGAUGAAGGCCUUCGGGUUGUAAACUGCUUUUGUACGGAACGAAAAGGUUUGGCCUAAUAAGCUGAGCUCAUGACGGUACCGUAAGA